GAUGAACGCUGGCGGCGUGCCUAAUACAUGCAAGUCGAGCGAACAGACGAGGAGCUUGCUCCUCUGACGUUAGCGGCGGACGGGUGAGUAACACGUGGAUAACCUACCUAUAAGACUGGGAUAACUUCGGGAAACCGGAGCUAAUACCGGAUAAUAUAUUGAACCGCAUGGUUCAAUAGUGAAAGACGGUUUUGCUGUCACUUAUAGAUGAUCCGCGCCGCAUUAGCUAGUUGGUAAGGUAACGGCUUACCAAGGCAACGAUGCGUAGCCGACCUGAGAGGGUGAUCGGCCACACUGGAACUGAGACACGGUCCAGACUCCUACGGGAGGCAGCAGUAGGGAAUCUUCCGCAAAGGGCGAAAGCUUGACGGAGCAACGCCGCGUGAGUGAUGAAGGUCUUCGGAUCGUAAAACUCUGUUAUUAGGGAAGAACAAAUGUGUAAGUAACUAUGCACGUCUUGACGGUACCUAAUCAGAAAGCCACGGCUAACUACGUG
Molecule: ribosomal RNA, 496 nt
Filed under: uncultured bacterium
Lineage: Bacteria
Description: partial 16S ribosomal RNA
Rfam family: Bacterial small subunit ribosomal RNA
Source: RNAcentral